GAGUUUGAUCGUGGCUCAGAUUGAACGCUGGCGGCAUGCCUUACACAUGCAAGUCGAACGGCAGCACGGGAGCUUGCUCCUGGUGGCGAGUGGCGAACGGGUGAGUAAUGCAUCGGAACGUAUCCUGGAGUGGGGGAUAACGUAGCGAAAGUUACGCUAAUACCGCAUAUUCUGUGAGCAGGAAAGCGGGGGACCUUCGGGCCUCGCGCUCUUGGAGCGGCCGAUGUCGGAUUAGCUAGUUGGUGAGGUAAAGGCUCACCAAGGCGACGAUCCGUAGCAGGUCUGAGAGGAUGAUCUGCCACACUGGAACUGAGACACGGUCCAGACUCCUACGGGAGGCAGCAGUGGGAUUUGGACAAUGGGGGCAACCCUGAUCCAGCCAUGCCGCGUGAGUGAAGAAGGCCU
RNAcentral lists this ribosomal RNA (405 nucleotides) under bacterium enrichment culture clone ALO1_GLFRUDD03GI8X7. RNAcentral describes it as "bacterial SSU rRNA". It matches the Rfam family "Bacterial small subunit ribosomal RNA", at positions 9 to 417 of the family's 1533-position model. The record is from RNAcentral.